Molecule: transfer RNA, 72 nt
Filed under: Peptostreptococcus stomatis DSM 17678
Lineage: Bacteria; Bacillati; Bacillota; Clostridia; Peptostreptococcales; Peptostreptococcaceae
Rfam family: tRNA
About the family: Transfer RNA (tRNA) molecules are approximately 80 nucleotides in length. Their secondary structure includes four short double-helical elements and three loops (D, anti-codon, and T loops). Further hydrogen bonds mediate the characteristic L-shaped molecular structure. tRNAs have two regions of fundamental functional importance: the anti-codon, which is responsible for specific mRNA codon recognition, and the 3' end, to which the tRNAs corresponding amino acid is attached (by aminoacyl-tRNA synthetases). tRNAs cope with the degeneracy of the genetic code in two manners: having more than one tRNA (with a specific anti-codon) for a particular amino acid; and 'wobble' base-pairing, i.e. permitting non-standard base-pairing at the 3rd anti-codon position.
Source: Rfam by way of RNAcentral
AGGGGAUUCGCCAAGCGGUAAGGCAUAUGACUCUGACUCAUACAUUCGGGGGUUCAAAUCCCUCAUCCCCUG